RNAcentral lists this ribosomal RNA (584 nucleotides) under uncultured bacterium. RNAcentral's name for it is "partial 16S ribosomal RNA". It matches the Rfam family "Bacterial small subunit ribosomal RNA", at positions 355 to 1375 of the family's 1533-position model. The record is from RNAcentral.
UGGGGAAUUUUGGACAAUGGGCGAAAGCCUGAUCCAGCAAUGCCGCGUGUGUGAAGAAGGCCUUCGGGCUGUAAAGCACUUUUGUCCGGAAAGAAAUCCUUGGCUCUAAUACAGUCGGGGGAUGACGGUACCGGAAGAAUAAGCACCGGCUAACUACGUGCCAGCAGCCGCGGUAAUACGUAGGGUGCAAGCGUUAAUCGGAAUUACUGGGCGUAAAGCGUGCGCAGGCGGUUUGCUAAGACCGAUGUGAAAUCCCCGGGCUCAACCUGGGAACUGCAUUGGUGACUGGCAGGCUAGAGUAUGGCAGAGGGGGGUAGAAUUCCACGUGUAGCAGUGAAAUGCGUAGAGAUGUGGAGGAAUACCGAUGGCGAAGGCAGCCCCCUGGGCCAAUACUGACGCUCAUGCACGAAAGCGUGGGGAGCAAACAGGAUUAGAUACCCUGGUAGUCCACGCCCUAAACGAUGUCAACUAGUUGUUGGGGAUUCAUUCCUUAGUAACGUAGCUAACGCGUGAAGUUGACCGCCUGGGGAGUACGGUCGCAAGAUUAAAACUCAAAUGAAUUGACGGGGUCAUAGCUGUUUCCU